Hibiscus syriacus is the source of this 156-nucleotide long non-coding RNA. RefSeq lists it as uncharacterized. NCBI's taxonomy places the organism in Eukaryota, Viridiplantae, Streptophyta, Magnoliopsida, Malvales, Malvaceae. The record is from RefSeq and is a predicted model, not a curated record. The transcript is spliced from 3 exons.
UGGGGCUGGAGGUCUUGCUGAUAAAGAAGUUGUAAAAGACCGUAUGAGUAAUGAAGCUGAUUUGUCAAAAAAGAAAUGGAUGGAGCUGGCAGGUAGAUGAGGCUCUCCGUUCUUCGGGAUGCAUUGAGGGCAGUAACAAGCAAUGUUUUAACUCAA